This 116-nucleotide ribosomal RNA is filed under the name uncultured eukaryote. RNAcentral describes it as "partial small subunit ribosomal RNA". It matches the Rfam family "Bacterial small subunit ribosomal RNA", at positions 1410 to 1525 of the family's 1533-position model. The record is from RNAcentral.
GUUGGUUCUACCCGAAGGUGGUGCGCUAACCGCAAGGAGGCAGCCGGCCACGGUAGGGUCAGCGACUGGGGUGAAGUCGUAACAAGGUAGCCGUAGGUGAACCUGCAGAAGGAUCA